CUGUCGCGUCCCGAGCGGAAGACAGCGGGACCCCGGCUCAAGGCCGGGGUGACGGGGGGUGGUUCAGGCCGCUUCCGCCAGA
RNAcentral lists this transfer RNA (82 nucleotides) under Sphingomonas jeddahensis. Its description in RNAcentral is "tRNA-Leu". The record is from RNAcentral. Lineage: Bacteria; Pseudomonadati; Pseudomonadota; Alphaproteobacteria; Sphingomonadales; Sphingomonadaceae.